CUGGUUUCCCAUAACUCCGAUGGAACAAGCCGUGGACACCUCCGUCUCUCCGAACCACACAGAGGCAAGAUAAGAAGUUCAAGGCAGACCCAACAAGGACAACCUCCCGGAGUCCCCUGAUCUCCAGCAGCCACAGGACGGGCACAAUGAAUACAAGGCACCGAUAAAUGUUGUGUUGUAAUCGUCAAGAAAAGACGGAUCAAGUGCCAACGAAUUGAGAAGAAUCAACCGUGAAGCUACCAGGAACCCGUUAUCCUCCAGUGGCGUCAUAUUCCACAACCUCAGCCUACCGGGAGCACCCAGCAGUCCGAGGUGUUCAGUGUUCAGAGACAUGGACACGGUAAGGAAGGCUGAACCCAGACCACAAGAUGCACAUUUUAAAACGUCAAGAAUGGGCCAAGAAAAUAUGUGAAGGCAGAUUUAUCUCUGGUCUUCUGGACUGAGAUGAGAGCGACUCUUGGCGGCCAAGAUGUAUCAGGAACGGUCAGAGAGCUUGUGGGCGCUUCUUUAACGGGAGUUUUAAGGUGAAGGAAAACAAUCCACUCAUCUGAACACAGUCUGCGACGAGGCGUUCGCUGCUGCACAAAAAGUUGACUGUGAAUCCGGUUUUGAAAUGACCUCGAUCACUGUCGUAGUUUCAUAAUUAAGUGAAUCCUCAAAAUUACAACUUGCCUAAUAAUUGUACAUGCAGUGUAGUAGAACGAUUGUUUACUCAGGAGCCAGACAGCGAUCACAGCUGGCGUUGCUUUUGUCCUGGUCAAUAACGUCAUUGAGCCGCUGUACAUCCUGUCCAGCUUCAGUCCAGUCAUGUGAUGUUGACUUAGCAAAUAUUCAAGUUCCACUCAGACUUUACAUUACCUCUGAUUACUGUCCAGAUACAAGUGACUUCAGAAAACCAAAACACAUUUAACUUGAAAGAAGUCUCUUAUGAAGAUCUCACAACAGGUUUAAGUUUCCAAGUCUUUGAUCUCUCUACUUGAGGAUAAUACCUAGAGUAUUCCUUCCCUCCAUCAUGUUGUACACAUGUCAUUGUAAAAUGUAGUAUAACAGUUUUACAUUAUUUAUCAUUACUUUUUAGUGUUAUGUCUUAGAGUUAUGGAUUACUUUAUUGUUUUAUAAAGACAAUCUGAGAGACUAAUUUGAUGAAAUGUGAAGUUUGGAUGCAAUAAAAUCAACCAAAAUGA
Pseudoliparis swirei is the source of this 1184-nucleotide long non-coding RNA. RefSeq lists it as uncharacterized. NCBI's taxonomy places the organism in Eukaryota, Metazoa, Chordata, Actinopteri, Perciformes, Liparidae. The record is from RefSeq and is a predicted model, not a curated record. The transcript is spliced from 3 exons.